AUACGGAGGGUCCGAGCGUUAAUCGGAAUUACUGGGCGUAAAGCGCGCGUAGGCGGCUAUAUAAGUCAGAUGUGAAAUCCCUGGGCUCAACCUAGGAACUGCAUUUGAAACUGUAUGGCUAGAGUAUGGUAGAGGUGAGUGGAAUUUCAGGUGUAGCGGUGAAAUGCGUAGAGAUCUGAAGGAACAUCAGUGGCGAAGGCGACUCACUGGGCCAUUACUGACGCUGAGGUGCGAAAGCGUGGGUAGCAAACAGGAUUAGAAACCCCAGUAGUCC
This 274-nucleotide ribosomal RNA is filed under the name uncultured bacterium. RNAcentral describes it as "partial 16S ribosomal RNA". It matches the Rfam family "Bacterial small subunit ribosomal RNA", at positions 523 to 796 of the family's 1533-position model. The record is from RNAcentral.